AGCCAGGUGUUUGUAUACUUGGUUACUUCUGCUCAGUGGUAAGCUAAAUAGCCGCAGUACCCUGACUGUGCAAAGGUAGCAUAAUCAUUUGGCUUAUAAUUGAAGUCUGGCAUGAACGAAAUUAUGGGUAGCAACUGUCUUCUAUAGAUCAUUAGAAUUUACUAAGUAGGUGAAAAUUCCUACGGAUUAAUAAUAGACGAGAAGACCCUAGAAAUUUUAUAUAAAAGUAUUUUAUUUAACUUACUAUUUUGUUGGGGCGACAGAAUAACAGUUGAACUUAUUUUAAUAAAUUUGUACUAAUUUUUGAGAGAAAUUAAAUUACUCUAGGGAUAACAGCAUAAUUUAUUAAAGUUUGUGACCUCGAUGUUGGACUAGGGUUUUUAAUAAUCAGAAGUUAUUAAAUUAGGCUCUGUUCGAGCUUUAUUCCCU
RNAcentral lists this ribosomal RNA (429 nucleotides) under Xerocrassa mesostena. Its description in RNAcentral is "partial 16S ribosomal RNA". It matches the Rfam family "Archaeal large subunit ribosomal RNA", at positions 1920 to 2665 of the family's 2987-position model. The record is from RNAcentral. Lineage: Eukaryota; Metazoa; Mollusca; Gastropoda; Stylommatophora; Geomitridae.